ACGGGUGCGUAACGCGUAUGCAACCUACCUUAAUCAGGGGGAUAGCCCGAAGAAAUUCGGAUUAACACCGCAUAAAAUCACAGUACAGCAUUGUACAAUGAUCAAAUAUUUAUAGGAUUAAGAUGGGCAUGCGUGUCAUUAGCUAGUUGGCGGGGUAACGGCCCACCAAGGCGACGAUGACUAGGGGAUCUGAGAGGAUGGCCCCCCACACUGGUACUGAGACACGGACCAGACUCCUACGGGAGGCAGCAGUAAGGAAUAUUGGUCAAUGGAGGGAACUCUGAACCAGCCAUGCCGCGUGCAGGAAGACAGCCCUCUGGGUCGUAAACUGCUUUUAUUCGGGAAUAAACCUCAAUACGUGUAUUGAGCUGAAUGUACCGAAGGAAUAAGGAUCGGCUAACUCCGUGCCAGCAGCCGCGGUAAUACGGAGGAUCCAAGCGUUAUCCGGAUUUAUUGGGUUUAAAGGGUGCGUAGGCGGCUUAUUAAGUCAGGGGUGAAAGACGGUGGCUCAACCAUCGCAGUGCCCUUGAUACUGAUGAGCUUGAAUACACUAGAGGUAGGCGGAAUGUGACAAGUAGCGGUGAA
This 585-nucleotide ribosomal RNA is filed under the name Pedobacter sp. BvORR003. RNAcentral's name for it is "bacterial SSU rRNA". It matches the Rfam family "Bacterial small subunit ribosomal RNA", at positions 102 to 685 of the family's 1533-position model. Lineage: Bacteria; Pseudomonadati; Bacteroidota; Sphingobacteriia; Sphingobacteriales; Sphingobacteriaceae. The record is from RNAcentral.